GCCCGCUCCCCGGCCAUGGCGCAGACGGAGCCCCCGAAGGCGGCGCGGCUGUGGCGCGACGCCGCCCUGCGCGCUCGGAAGCUGCGGGGCGGCCCCGGCGAGCCCGAGCCGGAGCCGGACGAGGGGCCUCCGGGGGGGCCGCCGCAGCCGCCGCCCGCGGCCCGCCGCCCGCCGCUGGGAGAGCUGGAGGCGCUGAACCUGAGCGGGCGGGGGCUGGAGGAGCUGCCCGAGGAGGUGGGCGCCGCCCUGAGCGGGCUGCGGGUGCUCAGCCUGCGGCGCAACCGGCUGUGCCGCCUGCCCGCCGCCGCCCUGCGGCACCUGGGCCGCCUGGCAGAACUGGACCUCAGCCACAACCGACUGCGGGGCCUGGGCGACGGCAGGGCGCUGGCGGGGCUGCGGGGCCUGCGCAAGCUGAGCCUCAGCCACAACGAGCUGGGCGCUGAAAGCCCCGGCCUGCCACCCCGCCUGGCCGAGCUGGCCCGCCUCGAGGAGCUCGACCUCAGCUUCAACCGCCUGCGCCGCCUGCCCGAGGGCUUGGGCUGCCUGCGGCACCUCCGUGCCCUCGACAUCGAUCACAACCUGCUGCCCUGCUUCCCUGCCCCGCUGCUGGAGCUUGCCGCCCUGGAGGAGCUCGACUGCUCUGGCAACCGGCACCUGGGGGCCCUGCCCGAGGGCAUUGCUGCCCUGCGCCGCCUCAAGAUCCUCUGGCUGAGUGGCACAGGCCUGGCCGCCCUGCCCGAGGGCCUCUGCCAGCUGGGCGCCCUGGAGAGCCUCAUGCUAGAUGGCAACCAGCUACGGACUCUGCCCGCUGGCUUCAGCAGCCUGCAGCGGCUCAAGAUGCUGAACCUCUCCUCCAAUCUGCUGGGUGAGUUCCCCGCCGCCAUCCUGGCGCUGCCGGGGCUGGAGGAGCUCUACCUGAGCCGCAACCAGCUUGCUGUGCUGCCUCCUCGUCUCUGCCAGCUCCGCCAGUUGCGCACCCUCUGGCUGGACAACAACCGCAUCCGCUACCUGCCUGACUCUAUCGUGCUCCUGCACAGCCUGGAAGAGUUGGUCCUGCAAGGCAACCAGAUCGCCAUCCUGCCCGAGGGCUUCGGGCAGCUCUCCCGCGUCACCCUGUGGAAGAUCAAAGACAACCCCCUCAUCCAGCCCCCCUAUGAGGUCUGCAUGAAAGGCAUUCCCUACAUCGCAGCCUACCAGCAGGAGCUGGCCCACUCCCAACCUGCCCUCAAACCCCGCCUCAAGCUGGUCCUCAUGGGGCUGAAGGACGCUGGCAAGACCCUGCUGAGACGAUGCCUGAUGGAGGAGGAUGGGCAGAAAGAGGAUGCAGGAAGCCUGGAGGCAGGGAGCACUCAGCCCCAAGGAUGCCCUGGACAGCAGCAGGACAGUGGGAGAGCAGUGGGGUGCUGCCCCAUCCCUGAGGAUGCUUCCGAGCGGCGGGACGUACCUUCUCACGUGCCAUCCCACCAAGGGAAAGGGGAAAGGCCGUGUCCUGCACCCUCACUGCCUCCAGAUGCCUCCCAGGUUUUGUCAGGACUGCGGCUGUCGGGCAGCAAGGGCAUUGAGGUGAUGGACUGGACUGCAGAUGCAGAGAGGGGCCUGACAUUCAUUGUGUAUGAGCUGGCAGGGGACCCGAGCUAUGAUGUGAUCCAGUCCUUCUUCCUUUCUCCUGGAGCUCUCUAUGUGCUGGUGGUGAAUCUGAGUGCCUACGUCCCUCAGCACUUCUACCCCUCUGUGGGCUAUUUCUUGCACUGGCUGGGUUCCAAGGUGCCCCACGCUGUGGUGUGCAUGGUGGGAACCCAUGCUGACCUCUGCGCUGAGCGGGAGUUGGAAGAGAAGUGCCUGGACAUUCAUCAGCAGAUUGCCCAGCAGGAAAAGAGGGAUGCUGAGGGCCUCCAGAGCCUUGUCCAGCAGGUAGACGAGGCUCUGGGACAGGACUUUGACCUGCGCUGCUCCAGCCCUCACACUGCCUUUUACGGGGUCUCGGACAAGAACUUGAGACGAAAAAAAGCCCAGUUUCAGUAUCUUCUCAACCACCGGCCUCAGAUCCUCUCUCCUGUGCUGCCUUUCAGCUGCUGGGACCACUGCCAGGUACGUCGCCUGCGGGACAAGCUCCUCUCGGUGGCUGAGCACCGCGAUAUCUUCCCAAACCUGCACCGGGUGUUGCCCAAAUCCUGGCAAGUGCUGGAGGAGCUGCACUUCCAGCCACAGGCUCAGCAGCUGUGGCUGAGUUGGUGGGACUCUGCCCGGCUGGGCUUGCAGGCAGGCCUAACGGAGGACCGGCUCCAGAGCGCCCUGUCCUACCUGCACGAGAGCGGGAAGCUGCUCUACUUUGAGGAGCACCUCACACUGCGGGAGUACGUGUUCCACAAUCUGCCGCGGCUCAUCGACAUCCUCAAUGUUUUCUGCCAGCGGGAUGCCACUGUGCUGCUCCAGAAACUGCUCAGUGACACCCACGUUGAUGAGCUGAGGGCCACUCAGCUCCAUCAUUACGUGGAGGGCUUCUUGCUGCAUGGCCUCCUCCCUGCCCAUGUUAUCCGCCUCCUCCUCAAGCCCCAUAUCCAGAGCCGGGAGGACCUGCAGCUCAUCCUGGAGCUGCUGGAGAAGAUGGGGCUCUGUUACUGUGUCAACAAACCCAAAUCCAAGCCUCUAAAUGGGGCAGCUGCUUGGUACAAGUUUCCCUGCUACGUGAAGAAUGAGGUGCCCCAUGCGGAGGCGUGGAUCAAUGGUGCCAAUCUGAGUGGCCAGUCGUUUGUUGUCGAGCAGCUGCAGAUUGAGUACAGCUUUCCCUUCAUUUUCCCACCCGGCUUGUUUGCGCGCUACAGCGUCCAGAUCAACAGCCAUGUGGUUCAGCGCUCGGACGGCAAAUACCAGAUCUAUGCCUACCGGGGAAAGGUGCCGGUGGUGGUGAGCUACCGGCCUGCCCGGGGAGCCCUGCAGCCAGACACACUGUCUAUUGCUAGCCACGCGUCCCUACCAAAUAUCUGGACAGCUUGGCAAGCUAUUACUCCCUUAGUGGAAGAACUGAAUGUCCUGCUCCAGGAAUGGCCGGGCCUGUACUACACUGUGCAUGUCCUCUGUUCAAAGUGCCUUAAAAGAGGGUCACCCAACCCACACAGUUUUCCAGGAGAACUGCUGAGUCAGCCAAGACCAGAGGGACUGACGGAGAUCAUCUGUCCCAAGAACGGCAGCGAGCGAGUUAAUGUUGCCUUGGUUUACCCCCCCACUCCUACUGUGAUCAGCCCUUGUUCCAAGUGAGCCCUGAAAGCAGCUCCCACUCCUCUCAGUACACACCAGAAAGCCUAUGUGAAAUAUGUCCUCACUAAGCAUUUUUGGAAGAUAAAUCAUCGGUACUGGUGCCAAAGGUUUUCCACCAGGAGGAAUGUGGCUGAUGCUCUACAGUGCUCCCAUCUCCAGUUGUGGAGUUGCAUGCUGACAGGGAUCGGUGGUAAUUUGGGACUCUGAGAUGCCACAGGGCAGGAGCAGUUCGCAGGUGGAGGCUUCGUGGCUGGAGUGGACACGGUCACCUGCAAGCUGGGGAUGACAACGAGACAUGAAGCAAAGUAAUUGCUGCAGAUGGCAGGGCUGCUGGCCAGAAGAAAAGCACUGGAGAUAGGAUUCUGUGGACCCAUUGAUUGCGUGCUGAAACUCAUUGGGAUCUCAUGAUGAAUGUAAAAAUGUUCUUGGUACCAUUUAAUUCAGACCUGCUUGGAGGAAAGUCUCUUGAAAUGAGCUGUAGCAGAAUUCCCUGGAUUUGUUCCUGGACAAGAAGAAAAUGGUGAUUUAUUGCUGAGCUGUUGCGUGGAAUCCACGUUGCAAAGAUAUCACCAACUGGAAUCCUUCUCCAAACAGGAGGUCCGCUUCCCAGUGCACCCAGCUCGUAUGGGACUCAGGAGUACUAAAGGAGCAAGAGGACAGAGCAGACACCUUACAGCCUGCUCUAUGGGACUGCAGCCCUGCUGCCACCUCAUCAGGAGCUCAGCAUUACCUGGCCUUUGCAGGCACCCAGCCUGUUCCAUGUACUGAAGCCAUAAUGCUGGGAGUAUGGCAGUGUGGAGAUCAGUCAAGUUAUUUAAUAUGAAAUUGGGAUCACUCAUCCGCCCACGGUUUAGUAACUGGUGUAACUGUUUUCAUCUAUUUUUUUUUUUAUAUGCAAAAGCCAUUUAAUUUUCUAUGCAGCUCAGAAAUGUCUCCCCUUUGCAACUGCCAAGUGAGAGAUCUGUGCAGGAGAACCGCACCAAGUGGCUGCUAGCCCUUUCGGUUUUGCUGCUGCUCUCUUUUAAGGAUGUGUCCUGGAAUCCUCUGCACACAGCAUCCCUUUGCUAAGCUCCUGUCUCUUAGACUCCACGCAACAUCAGAGCCCCAGGGAUGAGUGCCCUGUAUGUUUGAAGGAAUUGUCAUUUUUCUUGAGUCAAGCCUUAAGGAAAGAGGGCUUAAAGAUGCUGCUCUAAGAACAGACAUAUCCAGCUCAGCGCAUGCAAUCCUGUGCUCUUGUCCUUGCUCUGAGAGUGAUUGAACUGUUAGAAAUGGCCAAGGCCUCUGCAGAGCACCUUGCAGACUUUACGGAAAGUGUACAAUGAAGGAAGAGGGCAGAUAGGACUGGGGUGUCUCCCUGUGGAAGACGGUGACUGUAACCCCUUUGGAAGAGGAGAGGAAUCUCCUGAUACUUAAUCCUCACUUCACUCUAGAGGACCAUGCACUGGUUUUGCUCACUGGUUUGCAGACCUCUUGCUUGCUGACCAGUUGAUUUCGUGAUGAAACUGGUGCACAUGGGUUUGGAAGCAGAGCUGUAGGGCUUUCAGCACCUGGAGCUUAUCCUGGAGUAUCUUAUGUUACACUUGGAAGCAAAAUGUGGGAUUCAAACAUGCAUCCGUCCAAAUGAAACUUCCACAAUAGCAACUUUGCCUUCUGCUGAGUCUGUGUAACACUGAAGAAACUGCAUGUCCCAAAGCAGCAUCCAAAUAUGUUGAGGUAGAGCCCAAAGGGUGAUGCUGUAUGUCGAGCUCAUCUUAGGGCUUGUAGGAGUACCUGGAGGCCUCUGACAACUGCAGAGGAUCCUAGGGGGUGGGUCACUCUGUUUUAACUCUGUUAAAAGCAAAAAGGUCAUAGAAUUAAGAUGGGUAGCUCCUGUUACACUGCCAAGAUGGAUUUGACUAGUCCCCUUUCUGCAUUCUGUCUCUGCUCUGAGUUUGGGGGAUUCUACUUUAAAACAGAACAGGAAAAGACACCAGAUUGGGGGUUAGCCUGCCUUGUGGCCUCUGAAAUCAAAGGGAUGAGACUGGGGGCUGUGGAAGUACACAGGCCUAGCAGCAUCCUCAGGUGUGCUCUGCUGUGCUGUAGAACUAGAGCUUACGGGGGUCCCUAUCCUGUUCCAUUUAUCCUUUGUUCUCUGACCUGGUUAAAGCUUGUCAGAGCAGCAGGAAUCCCUUGCUGUGAACAGCAGAUGUGGCUUUGUUAAAGAGAACUGCAGAUGUUAUUUAGGAAUUCACUAAGUGAUGUGGAAACCCUUCAGCUCACUCCUACAGAGACAGAUGCUGGAGCUCAGCUCCACCCUUUGGUUGGGAUCUUGGGCUGGCAUCCUUGGAAGGGCAGUGUGGGGAGAUGAAGAUGCUGCACCGCAGUAAGCACAAGAAGAGUCAAGGCCUCAGUGUAGCACUCAACACGCGCUUCGUGGCUCAGUUAAUGAACUGUAAUUGCAGGUAUUCAUAUAAUCUACGUACCUGGGCAGGACUUUGCGCACACACACAUGCAUGCCCAGACGUACAUGCACCGCACCCACACAUCCUUGCCAAAACGAAAAAAUAAAAGUGAUCUAAAUCUCAAGAACAA
This is an RNA transcript of Numida meleagris (helmeted guineafowl), 5826 nucleotides long. It is a transcript of the gene named malignant fibrous histiocytoma amplified sequence 1, with no coding region annotated. The record is from RefSeq and is a predicted model, not a curated record. The transcript has 4 exons. Lineage: Eukaryota; Metazoa; Chordata; Aves; Galliformes; Numididae.